Molecule: long non-coding RNA, 484 nt
Organism: Helianthus annuus (common sunflower)
Lineage: Eukaryota; Viridiplantae; Streptophyta; Magnoliopsida; Asterales; Asteraceae
Exons: 3
Source: RefSeq, a predicted model, not a curated record
AGCCCCUGUGUGACGUGGCACGACACGUGUCGCAUAACGCCCACAAAAGGGCUUUAUGACUACACAUGGCCUAAGCGAGAAGGAGAAAAGGGGUGAAGGAGAACUUCACUAAUACCACACAAAACCUGCAAAUCAAAGGUCUUUAAUGGCUGAAAAUUGAUGCAUGAAGUGAAAUUAUUGAUCAUCUAGUUAUUCUUGACAUAAGGAGUAAAGGAAGAGAGCACGAGCCAAUCCGGGUCGCAAACAAAGCAAGAUAAAGGUAAAUUGUAUGCUUAGGAAUGGCGAGCUUGGGACGAACACACCUCAAUGCCCUCUAUGCGCUUCCGGUUAUGUUUAAUGUCAAACGGGUCAAAACUCUUUUGGAUUGUAAAUGCCACUUUUAUACUUAAUGUCUUUUGUAAGUAAGUUAAAUCGGUAUUUGUGGUUUGGUAGUUUGAACAAAUGUUGCAUGAAAUGCUUUGAUGGCUAUGAAUUUUAUAUUUAA